This 610-nucleotide unclassified non-coding RNA is filed under the name Trichoderma virens. RNAcentral's name for it is "sequence contains 18S rRNA gene, ITS1, 5.8S rRNA gene, ITS2, 28S rRNA gene". The stretch from base 242 to 395 matches the Rfam family "5.8S ribosomal RNA". Lineage: Eukaryota; Fungi; Ascomycota; Sordariomycetes; Hypocreales; Hypocreaceae. The record is from RNAcentral.
GUAACAAGGUCUCCGUUGGUGAACCAGCGGAGGGAUCAUUACCGAGUUUACAACUCCCAAACCCAAUGUGAACGUUACCAAACUGUUGCCUCGGCGGGAUCUCUGCCCCGGGUGCGUCGCAGCCCCGGACCAAGGCGCCCGCCGGAGGACCAACCAAAACUCUUAUUGUAUACCCCCUCGCGGGUUUUUUACUAUCUGAGCCAUCUCGGCGCCCCUCGUGGGCGUUUCGAAAAUGAAUCAAAACUUUCAACAACGGAUCUCUUGGUUCUGGCAUCGAUGAAGAACGCAGCGAAAUGCGAUAAGUAAUGUGAAUUGCAGAAUUCAGUGAAUCAUCGAAUCUUUGAACGCACAUUGCGCCCGCCAGUAUUCUGGCGGGCAUGCCUGUCCGAGCGUCAUUUCAACCCUCGAACCCCUCCGGGGGGUCGGCGUUGGGGAUCGGCCCUUUACGGGGCCGGCCCCGAAAUACAGUGGCGGUCUCGCCGCAGCCUCUCCUGCGCAGUAGUUUGCACACUCGCAUCGGGAGCGCGGCGCGUCCACAGCCGUUAAACACCCCAAACUUCUGAAAUGUUGACCUCGGAUCAGGUAGGAAUACCCGCUGAACCUAAGCAUA